This 460-nucleotide ribosomal RNA is filed under the name uncultured bacterium. RNAcentral describes it as "partial 16S ribosomal RNA". It matches the Rfam family "Bacterial small subunit ribosomal RNA", at positions 338 to 795 of the family's 1533-position model. The record is from RNAcentral.
UCUACGGGUGGCAGCAGUGAGGAAUAUUGGUCAAUGGACGGAAGUCUGAACCAGCCAUGCCGCGUGCAGGAAGACGGCUCUAUGAGUUGUAAACUGCUUUUGUACAAGGGUAAACCUGAAUACGUGUAUUCAGCUGAAAGUACUGUACGAAUAAGGAUCGGCUAACUCCGUGCCAGCAGCCGCGGUAAUACGGAGGAUCCAAGCGUUAUCCGGAUUUAUUGGGUUUAAAGGGUGCGUAGGCGGAUUGUUAAGUUAGAGGUGAAAUGUCCGGGCUUAACUCGGGAACUGCAGCUAAUACUGGUAGUCUAGAGGAUAGAAGCGGUAGGCGGAAUGUAUGGUGUAGCGGUGAAAUGCUUAGAGAUCAUACAGAACACCGAUUGCGAAGGCAGCUUACCAAUCUAUAUCUGACGUGGAGGCACGAAAGCGUGGGGAGCAAACAGGAUUAGAUACCCGAGUAGUC